CAUAAAAUAAUAAAACUAUCUUGUUUAUAUGUGCUAAGUUACUGGUUUAUAACUUUUAAUAUUCAAGAAUAAAGCAAGGGAAGCAGCCAGGUAUAGGAGCCACAGAUGCUUUUUCAAGCGUGGCUGUGAGAUGCGCCAAAACAAACCGUAGCCCCGAGCUUGUGGUGACAGAAGAUAGGCCGAUUUUCUGCUUCUGACUUUGGCCGUGCAGUCAGUGGCGCCGUGGCUACCGGAACCAAGUUGAGGGGUGUUGGCCAAGCUGUUGGAACUGAACUGUUUUGUCUCACCCCUUCAGCAUGUCUGCUCAGCCUCUGAUUCCUUUUGCUCUUCAGUCACAGUAACUCUUCUGUGUGAGACACAGGUUUUCAGACUCCAUUCCAAGGAACCCAGCCUCCCACCCCCAGCCAAAGGAGUUGAGUGUUUAAGAUGUUUCCUACCUCGCUGAUUUAAACCACUUGAAGAACUCACUUUUAUUUUUCCUCCUUGAUCUGUCUACAUGUAUAUAUAUACUGGAGUUCCAAAUUACGUUAUUAUAAGAAUUACGUUUAAGGAAUGUCUGAAAACUACUUUGGGAAAUUAGUCCAUUAGAUAGUAAGUGGCCUGUAGGGGAGCGUUCUCAUAAGAGUUUUUAUUUCUUUGAAAUGGC
This 646-nucleotide long non-coding RNA is filed under the name Bos taurus (domestic cattle). RNAcentral's name for it is "long non-coding RNA NONBTAT024754". Lineage: Eukaryota; Metazoa; Chordata; Mammalia; Artiodactyla; Bovidae. The record is from RNAcentral.